RNAcentral lists this ribosomal RNA (456 nucleotides) under uncultured bacterium. RNAcentral's name for it is "bacterial SSU rRNA". It matches the Rfam family "Bacterial small subunit ribosomal RNA", at positions 329 to 803 of the family's 1533-position model. The record is from RNAcentral.
GAGAUAACUCCUACGGGAGGCAGCAGUGGGGAAUCUUGCGCAAUGGGCGAAAGCCUGACGCAGCCAUGCCGCGUGAAUGAUGAAGGUCUUAGGAUCGUAAAAUUCUUUCACCGGGGACGAUAAUGACGGUACCCGGAGAAGAAGCCCCGGCUAACUUCGUGCCAGCAGCCGCGGUAAUACGAAGGGGGCUAGCGUUGCUCGGAAUUACUGGGCGUAAAGGGCGCGUAGGCGGAUCGUUAAGUCAGAGGUGAAAUCCCAGGGCUCAACCCUGGAACUGCCUUUGAUACUGGCGAUCUUGAGUAUGAGGAGGGUAUGUGGAACCCCGAGUGUAGAGGUGAAAUACGUAGAUAUUCGGAAGAACACCAGUGGCGAAGGCGACAUACUGGCUCAUUACUGACGCUGAGGCGCGAAAGCGUGGGGAGCAAACAGGAUUAGAAACCCUAGUAGUCCUCCACU